Molecule: ribosomal RNA, 182 nt
Filed under: Hydrolagus colliei (spotted ratfish)
Lineage: Eukaryota; Metazoa; Chordata; Chondrichthyes; Chimaeriformes; Chimaeridae
Description: partial small subunit ribosomal RNA
Source: RNAcentral
CGCCGCGGUUAUACGAGCGACCCAAAUUAAUGAGAUAACGGCGUAAAGAGUGUAUAAGAAAAACCUUGUACUUAUUAAAGUUAAAAUGGUGCUUAACUGUUAUACGUGCCCGCACAAAUGAAAAACAAUUAAAAAAGAAACUUUAUAAAAACAAGGCCUCUGAAAACACGAUAGCUAAAAAA